GGGAGGGUUGGGAUCCCGCUAACAUGUUUAACCCCGACACAUUAUUUAUGUAUUUGCCUGUCCCAAGUCAGGAGCCUGUAAUUCAGUGGUUGUCGUUUGUUUAUGUGUUACAUAUUCAUUUUUCGUUUAUUUUUUUUUGAUAUAAAUAAGGCCGUUGGUUUUCUCGUUUGAAUUGUUUUGCAUUGUCUUGUCGGGGCCUUUUAUAGCUGACUAUGCGGUAUUGGCUUUGCACAUUGUUGAAAGCCGUAUGGUGACCUAUAGCUGAUAAUGGCUGUAUCAUUUUGGUCUCUUGUGGACAGUUGUCUCAUUGGCAAUGAUACCACAUCUUCUUUUUAUAUUUCCCGUAACCCUUCCCCCCUAAUAUAGUACUGAUUCUUUUUCAAAUCUUUUUUCUAAUUUUUUAUGAUAAAUCACCAGUACAGUUCUGUUAAUGAAAGUACAAAUGUAGCUUAAAACAUCAAUU
Molecule: long non-coding RNA, 463 nt
Filed under: Mytilus galloprovincialis (Mediterranean mussel)
Lineage: Eukaryota; Metazoa; Mollusca; Bivalvia; Mytilida; Mytilidae
Source: RNAcentral